Molecule: ribosomal RNA, 500 nt
Filed under: uncultured bacterium
Lineage: Bacteria
Description: partial 16S ribosomal RNA
Rfam family: Bacterial small subunit ribosomal RNA
Source: RNAcentral
GACGAACGCUGGCGGCGUGCCUAAUACAUGCAAGUCGAGCGGACUGAUUAAGAGCUUGCUCUUAUGACGUUAGCGGCGGACGGGUGAGUAACACGUGGGCAACCUGCCCUGUAGAUCGGGAUAACACCGAGAAAUCGGUGCUAAUACCGGGUAAUAUCUGAGAUCACAUGAUCUUAGGUUAAAAGAUGGCUCCGGCUAUCACUACAGGAUGGGCCCGCGGCGCAUUAGCUAGUUGGUAAGGUAAUGGCUUACCAAGGCGACGAUGCGUAGCCGACCCGAGAGGGUGAGCGGCCACACUGGGACUGAGACACGGCCCAGACUCCUACGGGAGGCAGCAGUAGGGAAUCUUCCGCAAUGGACGAAAGUCUGACGGAGCAACGCCGCGUGAGUGAUGAAGGGUUUCGGCUCGUAAAGCUCUGUUGUUAGGGGAGAAACAGUACCGAACGAACUAGGUCGGUACCUUGACGGUACCUAACCAGAAAGCCACGGCUAACUACGUG